UUGGUCAUUUUCUUCUGAAUCUCCUAGAGAAGUUCUAGGAAGUUCAUUUCCUUCAUCUGCCUGGAAUUAUCCAACUGCUCAGCUUUCUUGUGCUCAGACUUCAGUCUGAAUUUCACCAUGUGGUCCAUCAUCUUCUUUCUCCUGUUGGGGUUCCUCUGCCCUGGACACAGCGUCCCUCUGAGCCCUCAAAAUCCUGACGCAGAUGGAAAGCCAAGCGCUUCUUCUGUUUCCAUCCUCCAGGCUCCAGCAGGACAACUGAAUUGGCCCCAAAAAAUCACUAUCACAUGCAUCAUGGAAGUUUUUUAUCCCAGCGAACUCUUUCUGAAAUCGCUCCGGAAUGGGGAGCCGGUCAGGUUGAGCAUCAGCAUGCAGAAAGUGAAUUUGAAUAGUGAAGAUGAAUUCUAUUGCCUGGGGGAUUACGAAGCCUUGCCAUCCGACGUCAUCCAGAAGACCAUAAAGAAGAACACGGGGAAAUGAUCUGUAGUUGACGUCGCCGUAAUCCUCUCUGACGCCAGCAGCCCUUGCUUCCCAUUUCUUUUGAGAAACCUAGUGUGUUCGGUUUCCACCAUCCUCUCUUUUCUCCUACUUCGUGAUGGAUAAUUCAUGAAAGUGUUCAUUGGCCGCAUCCUUCUGAAGACAAGAAAUAUUGUGUCAUCAAGUAUUUUUCUCAAAACAAGUAAAAAAAAAUAAUAAUCUGGGGGUAAGGCAGUGGUGAAAUGUAAAAUUUGUUACUACAAGUUCUGUGGACGUGGCUUGCUGUGUGUGUGUGUGUGUGUGUGUGUGUGUGUGUGUGUAAUGUGACUGGUGGGCGUGGCCAAUUUUUUUUACUUUUAAAAGCAUUUUUUCUUCAACCUCUUCAGCCAAAGAGGUUAUAAAAAAUGCUUUUAAAAGGCUCUUCUGAUGAUCCCAGCUGAGUUGCCUGAUGG
Molecule: non-coding RNA, 926 nt
Organism: Ahaetulla prasina
Lineage: Eukaryota; Metazoa; Chordata; Lepidosauria; Squamata; Colubridae
Source: the annotation of a RefSeq genome assembly